RNAcentral lists this ribosomal RNA (486 nucleotides) under uncultured bacterium. Its description in RNAcentral is "bacterial SSU rRNA". It matches the Rfam family "Bacterial small subunit ribosomal RNA", at positions 30 to 507 of the family's 1533-position model. The record is from RNAcentral.
AUUGAACGCUGGCGGCAUGCUUUACACAUGCAAGUCGAACGGCAGCACGGGUGCUUGCACCUGGUGGCGAGUGGCGGACGGGUGAGUAAUACAUCGGAACGUGUCCUGAAGUGGGGGAUAACGCAUCGAAAGAUGUGCUAAUACCGCAUAUACUCUGAGGAGUAAAGUAGGGGAUCGAAAGACCUUAUGCUUUUGGAGCGGCCGAUGUCUGAUUAGCUAGUUGGUGGGGUAAUUGCCCACCAAGGCGACGAUCAGUAGUUGGUCUGAGAGGACGACCAGCCACACUGGGACUGAGACACGGCCCAGACUCCUACGGGAGGCAGCAGUGGGGAAUUUUGGGCAAUGGGCGCAAGCCUGAUCCAGCAAUGCCGCGUGAGUGAAGAAGGCCUUCGGGUUGUAAAGCUCUUUCAGUUGAGAAGAAAAGAUUGUAACUAAUAAUUACAGUUCAUGACGGUAUCAACAGAAGAAGCACCGGCUAACUACGUG